This 253-nucleotide ribosomal RNA is filed under the name uncultured bacterium. RNAcentral describes it as "partial 16S ribosomal RNA". It matches the Rfam family "Bacterial small subunit ribosomal RNA", at positions 524 to 776 of the family's 1533-position model. The record is from RNAcentral.
UACAGAGGGGGCAAGCGUUGUUCGGAAUUACUGGGCGUAAAGGGCGCGUAGGCGGCCACCUAAGUCAGACGUGAAAUCCCUCGGCUCAACCGGGGAACUGCGUCUGAUACUGAGUGGCUUGAAUUCGGGAGAGGAAUGCGGAAUUCCAGGUGUAGCGGUGAAAUGCGUAGAUAUCUGGAGGAACACCGGUGGCGAAGGCGGCAUUCUGGACCGACAUUGACGCUGAGGCGCGAAAGCCAGGGGAGCAAACGGG